UGUUAAUUUUCUUUUUCGCAAGUAGAUUUUUUUAAUAAAAGCAACUAUCUUAUUAUUUAAUUGCAGAAUAUAAGUUUCUUUACCCUGUAAAAAUAUAUUGAGUGAAUUAAGUUUUUCAAAAAUAUCACAUAAAUAAGCUAAUUUUAUUACAAAAUCACUAUCAACAAACAUUUUGCUAUUAUUAUAACCUUCUCCAUUUAAAUAAUAUUACAGUUCUUGUACAAGUUUGAAUACUCUUGAAAGUACAUUACCUUUUGAUAGCCAUCUAGAAUUACAUUAAAACAGUAAUAUAUGUUCUGCUUCCAUUUCUUCACACAGUUUUUGAAAAAAUCUUGCUUUAAUAGAUCUUGUAUUUACAUAGUUGACUACUUCUAAAACCAUUUCAAGUACAUAAUUUGAAGAACAACUUAUAUUUUGUGACCCUUAAGCCUCUCCAUUAAUAAGACAAUGAGUACAUAUCAUUUCUGGAGCUUUUGUCGAAUUAAAGCCUGAAGUUCACUGUACUGACCAGACAUAGUCGAGUUCCAUCUCUACACACGCCCAAACAGUUUUCCCAUUUAAUAUUAUUAUGAUCCAAAAAAUUAUUAGAAAUAUCAAAUAGGUCUUUAGCUUUAGUACCACUUAAUAUAGAUUUUCAAAACAAUAAUUCUUCUAUAAUAUAUAUUCCAUUCAUAAACUGAACAUAACAUAUUAGAUAUGCGUCUUUAUUAUUAUUAUCAUCAUCGGUCGUCCCGAAAUUUUUAUUUCUUAAUUUAUCAAUAAGCUGAUCAUUUAUAUUAUCUGAGAUAUCUUGAAUUUGCCAACUAAUAGUAUUAUUAGAUAAAGGUAUAUUUCUAAGUUAGUUUGCUGCAGAUUCUCCUAUCAGAGUAGAAACCAUAUCUAUUGCUGAUGGUAAAAUAAGUUCUUUGGCAAUCUUCAUAUGAGGUGUUUUGCAUUAUGCCAUACAAAAUUCUGCUUUAUAUGAAGUCAAAAGGGCUUUAGAUGGAACACAUGUCUGUUUAAAGAAACUAGAAGAUUGUUUUCCUAAUUUUGCAAGUUCUCUUACAAAAUAAUCACAUUUAUGGUUUAUUAUUUAUGUACUAUGAUUAGUCUUCAAUUGAUG
Cinara cedri is the source of this 1102-nucleotide non-coding RNA. Lineage: Eukaryota; Metazoa; Arthropoda; Insecta; Hemiptera; Aphididae. The record is from the annotation of a GenBank genome assembly.